CUUUUCCAGACUCAUGAUCACAGCAACAAAUUUCUAAAAUGGAGGCGGAAACAGCGGUGGCCGCGAUUCUCGGAAGGCUGGGGCGUCAUUGCUAUGCGGUGUUGUGUUUGGGAGUGCUUCUUUUGACGGUGGCCCUCGUUCACUACGUCGGCGACGGAGAACCGACCGAUCCUCGGGAGCGGAGCAAGCGCCGGCUUCGAGCCUUGCAGGGCCCGCCCAUUCGUGGCGGAGAUGGCGGCCGACUGCCGCAUGCGGUGGUGAAUUCAAGCGCCUAAGGGGCGGGCUAGG
RNAcentral lists this unclassified non-coding RNA (288 nucleotides) under Hevea brasiliensis (rubber tree). Lineage: Eukaryota; Viridiplantae; Streptophyta; Magnoliopsida; Malpighiales; Euphorbiaceae. The record is from RNAcentral.